Molecule: ribosomal RNA, 253 nt
Filed under: uncultured bacterium
Lineage: Bacteria
Description: partial 16S ribosomal RNA
Rfam family: Bacterial small subunit ribosomal RNA
Source: RNAcentral
UACAGAGGGUGCAAGCGUUAAUCGGAAUUACUGGGCGUAAAGCGUGCGUAGACGGUUAUGUAAGUCAGAUGUGAAAGCCCCGGGCUCAACCUGGGAAUUGCAUUUGAGACUGCGUAGCUAGGGUGCGGAAGAGGGAAGCGGAAUUUCCGGUGUAGCGGUGAAAUGCGUAGAUAUCGGAAGGAACACCAGUGGCGAAAGCGGCUUCCUGGUCCAGCACCGACGUUCAGGCACGAAAGCGUGGGGAGCAAACAGG